UUUCCGUAGGUGAACCUGCGGAAGGAUCAUUACUGAGUGAGGGCCCUCUGGGUCCAACCUCCCACCCGUGUUUAUUGUACCUUGUUACUUCGGUGAGCCCGCCUCACGGCCGCCGGGGGGCAUCUGCCCCCGGGCCCGCGCUCGCCGAAGGCACCCUUGAACUCUGUCUGAAGUUUGCAGUCUGAGCGAAAACUAAAUAAGUUAAAACUUUCAACAACGGAUCUCUUGGUUCCG
RNAcentral lists this unclassified non-coding RNA (234 nucleotides) under plant metagenome. RNAcentral's name for it is "partial contains small subunit ribosomal RNA, internal transcribed spacer 1, and 5.8S ribosomal RNA". The record is from RNAcentral.